This 443-nucleotide ribosomal RNA is filed under the name uncultured bacterium. Its description in RNAcentral is "bacterial SSU rRNA". It matches the Rfam family "Bacterial small subunit ribosomal RNA", at positions 958 to 1398 of the family's 1533-position model. The record is from RNAcentral.
AACGCGAAGAACCUUACCAGCUUUUGACAUCCCGGUCGCGGGCACCAGAGAUGGAGCCCUUCAGUUCGGCUGGACCGGAGACAGGUGCUGCAUGGCUGUCGUCAGCUCGUGUCGUGAGAUGUUGGGUUAAGUCCCGCAACGAGCGCAACCCUCGCCCUUAGUUGCCAUCAUUCAGUUGGGCACUCUAAGGGGACUGCCGGUGAUAAGCCGGAGGAAGGUGGGGAUGACGUCAAGUCCUCAUGGCCCUUACGGACUGGGCUACACACGUACUACAAUGGUGGUGACAGUGGGCAGCGAAGGCGCGAGCCGGAGCCAAUCCCCAAAAGCCAUCUCAGUUCAGAUUGUACCCUGCAACUCGGGUGCAUGAAGUUGGAAUCGCUAGUAAUCGCAGAUCAGCACGCUGCGGUGAAUACGUUCCCGGGCCUUGUACACACCGAGACGAC